RNAcentral lists this ribosomal RNA (423 nucleotides) under uncultured bacterium. RNAcentral describes it as "bacterial SSU rRNA". It matches the Rfam family "Bacterial small subunit ribosomal RNA", at positions 202 to 622 of the family's 1533-position model. The record is from RNAcentral.
AAGACCUCGCGCUAUUGGAGCGGCCGAUGUCCGAUUAGCUAGUUGGUGAGGUAAUGGCCCACCAAGGCAACGAUCGGUAGCUGGUCUGAGAGGAUGAUCAGCCACACUGGGACUGAGACACGGCCCAGACUCCUACGGGAGGCAGCAGUGGGGAAUUUCGGACAAUGGGCGCAAGCCUGAUCCAGCCAUGCCGCGUGAGUGAAGAAGGCCUUCGGGUUGUAAAGCUCUUUCGGCCGGAACGAAAUCGUCCGGGCUAAUACCCCGGAUGGAUGACGGUACCGGAAGAAGAAGCACCGGCUAACUACGUGCCAGCAGCCGCGGUAAUACGUAGGGUGCAGGCGUUAAUCGGAAUUACUGGGCGUAAAGCGUGCGCAGGCGGCUUCCUAAGUCAGAUGUGAAAUCCCCGGGCUUAACCUGGGAACU